Rhineura floridana is the source of this 2426-nucleotide long non-coding RNA. RefSeq lists it as uncharacterized. The transcript has 3 exons. Lineage: Eukaryota; Metazoa; Chordata; Lepidosauria; Squamata; Rhineuridae. The record is from RefSeq and is a predicted model, not a curated record.
GUCUCCCUCCCUCCCUCCCUAUUUCAAAAUCGAGAGGUAGGUUAGGGUGAUAGAUAGGAACCGGCCCCUGGCAUCUCUGGGUAGGCCUGAGAAAAGACCCCGUCUGAAAUCCUGGAGUGCUGCUGCCGGUCAGUGCAGACAACACCAAGCCAAAGGGACCAGCGGUGUGACUCUGUACAAGGCAACGUCCUGCGUUUUGUUCCCUCUUGUUGCCCGCUGCAAAAUUUCACCGACCUGUGAACAAAAUGGAGACCACAAAGGAUUUCCUGGCUUCCUCGAUGUUCCCGGCCCCUAAGGCGUUGCCCACCAGGACGCUGACGGCGGCGCUGAUCCCGAACGGAAUCUGAAAAGGGGCGAGAGGACGGCCGCUGCUCAGCAGGGGCUCUACCACUGAUCUACAAUCCUUUCCACGCAUGGCCUCUUAAUGGGCCCCGUUGGGAACAACAAGAAGGUGAAUUGGCCAACUCACUGGAAGCGCAGGAAUGAAGAUCAUGACGUAAACUUGUAGAGGAGUUUUUCCCUGGGCCUACCUGGAAAUGGAACCUGGGAUCUUGUGGCCACAAAGCAGGUGCUCUGUCAUUGAUCUACAGCCCUGCCCCAAAGUUAACGGACAAUUCGUUAUCCCCUUGAAGUGUGCGAAAGACCACCAACAGCCCUCUUUUGACAGAGUAAGCUGCCUCCUGUUUCCCUCUGAAUGAGUCACCGUUCACAACAUGCCUCAUCCAGAGAUGCAACAAGGAACCUCUGCAGAGGGCCAGGGACAUUUUUAAAAAAUACUUACGAAACACAACACUCACCGCAAUGGCAAGGGUGACGGAAGCCAGCUCAACCUUGCCAAGAUGGCCACAGAAUAUUGUGCUGACGACAUGGAUCAUAAACACAAGCAACUGGACGAUUGUCUAAGGAGGGGGGAAAUGGCAGAAAAUUUGGAUAUAGCUUUUAAAACCAUCAUCGCGAAUUGUGCUGGAAAGACUUUAUGGAGCCGGUGGAAAUCCUGGAAAACUGGAGCAGCAUCAAUUUGAAAGUUAAGCAGUGAUCCAAGCUGGCCUAUAUUUGGAUUCAAUGGACUUUGCCACACCUGAGCAGCGAGACAGCUCAGAUCGAAGGUCUCGGGAGCAAGGUAACAAGAGUUAGGCUGCUUACCUCUCUGGCAAUUUCACUGUCGCCAACCAGGCUUUUGGGAGUCAACCCCAACAUUGGCCAAAACAAAGACAAAAGAUGGCAGAUACAAAUUUCAGAGCGGAACGGGAAGAUAAAGCUAGCCUUAAAACCAGGCUCACGCCAGGGUCUUGCCGGCACAGAAAAUUGGCACAUUAGGCCGCACUGUACCAAUUCAAAGUAAAACACACACACACACACCCGCCACAAAUAAUUCUGGGAACUGUAGUUUAGCCAUUACAGAGCUACGAUUCCCAGCACCCUUAAACUACAGUUCCCAGGAUUCUUGAAGGGGGGAAGGGAACGUGCUUUAAAUGUAGGGUGUGCGCUCAGCCUCUCACAGACUUGGGGGGGGGUCUUACCAGCGGACCGGCCAGCACCAAGAUCUUCUUUGCCUCUUCCCAGAAGUUGGAAGGAAUCAGCCGGCAUAAUUCCCUACAGCAAUGGGGGACUGCGGUCUGCGGAUCAGCGGCUGAAUCACUGAGGGAUGGCUUCUUGCCGACGGGGGUCCCAAACUCCAUAAGUAGAAAGGGACCCUCUCUCUUUUUUAGUUUUUAAAGAACGGGAUCAAGACAGAUUUAUUUGUCUGACCCAACUGGGCACCUUUCAAACCACGGCAGAAUGAACUUCACCCAGGUCUGGAUAGUCAGAGCUCCUUGUCCUUACGAUUUUGGGCAAAGGGUGAUGAUUAAAGUAUCUCCAGUCCAGAGCCAAUAGAACGUGAAGGAGCGGCCCCUGUUUGGGCCAGUCUGCUGUGAGAGAGAGCUGCAGGAGGCUGGCUCCGAGAGCCUGGGACCCGUCCAAAAUAACCUUCACAAGUAUAUAUAAGGCCUUAAUGCCAAAUCAGACCCACCGUCUGUCAAGAGUAAUAGUGCUCCAUGACGGGACUGCUCUCAAGUGCCGGAACUUGGAGCCCAAGUCAGAGCAAGGGGCUAGCCCUCAUGGCUGCGACGAAUCGGGGCCAGGCCCCCAAGUGAAAUAUCAGAAGCUGGGGGUGGUGUGGUGGUGGAACAGAUGACAGCCAGCAUAGAGGAGAGAAUUCUGACCCCCUCCCUGUGUAUAACAGAGCUGGAAAGAAAUAUAUAAAAAUGUGCUCAUUUUGUAAUUAAUAUAUAUAGUAAUUUAUAAUGCAUUAUAUUUAUUUAUUUGUGUGUCUUUCCCAGCCCUAGCUGGAGAUGCCAUUGGGGACUGAAGCUGGGAGCUUUUGCAUGCAAAGGAACUGCUCUAACACGGAGCCCCUUCUCUUCCCUUACAAAUAAAGCAAGCUU